CUGAGAAAGCACGCAGGGUUUUCAAGUUUAGCAUCUCCCCACCUGCUACAGGUUCUGUGCUAUGUCUGCAUUCCAAAUUCACACCCCUCCACACACCCUCAGAUUCUCUCCAGGAAACUUUGUGUUCGGUGAAAACUGUUACAAAUUCAGCUAGAAGUUUCCUUCUCCCUGUGGUCUUUUCUCAGUUCCUCUGGCAGCCCUCCCCAAGGACCUCUGUGAGACAAACUCAGAAACGGCUUCCCUUGGGACAUAAAGACCCCACAGGGCUCAUCCCUCUGCUUCUUCUACCCCUGUACUUUGCUCAGCUCACUAAAUUUGUCUCAGCUCCAGACAGCAAACUGCCUAAACUACAAAGGGAAAGGUCUAUGGUCCUAUAAGAGUUUACCUUGCAAGCAAGAUCAACAUUUUCUUGGGGAAAGAAGCCAAAUAAAGCCAAGAGUUUGUAUACAUCUUCCAAAUAUCCUGAGCUACAGAAAAGAAGAAAGGGUCAGAAAGAAGAUUCUCUCUGCUAGUCUCGCAUGGUUCUGAACACAUAGUAAAUGCUGAAUUACUAUUUCCUAAAUUAUCAUAAAGCUGAGAAGAAUCAUGAUUCUCAAACUUCACCUUGGAAUUAAAAUGGAUUUCCUUGAGAAGCACAUAUGAGGUAAGCAGACCUCUCCUGUGAUGUUCUGGAUAUGCCUGUCUCAACAGAUUUCAGGGUGGCCGUCUUCUCUGCAAAUUCAGUUCUCUGAUGUGUCCAAGGUAAGUCAUUUGUUUUUAAUUUGUCCAGCUUUUUCUUGUAGUAAGGAUAAGUUGACAACUAGCAAUGACUCUUUAAUCCUAGAUGGCCAAAUUUACUU
Long non-coding RNA from Homo sapiens (human), 839 nucleotides. RefSeq lists it as uncharacterized. NCBI's taxonomy places the organism in Eukaryota, Metazoa, Chordata, Mammalia, Primates, Hominidae. The transcript is spliced from 4 exons. The record is from RefSeq and is a predicted model, not a curated record.